Molecule: ribosomal RNA, 44 nt
Filed under: Tuber brumale var. moschatum
Lineage: Eukaryota; Fungi; Ascomycota; Pezizomycetes; Pezizales; Tuberaceae
Description: partial 28S ribosomal RNA
Source: RNAcentral
GGUUGACCUCGAAUCGUAAGGAUACCCGCUGAACUUAAGCAUAU